This 1528-nucleotide ribosomal RNA is filed under the name Klebsiella pneumoniae. Its description in RNAcentral is "bacterial SSU rRNA". It matches the Rfam family "Bacterial small subunit ribosomal RNA". Lineage: Bacteria; Pseudomonadati; Pseudomonadota; Gammaproteobacteria; Enterobacterales; Enterobacteriaceae. The record is from RNAcentral.
AGAGUUUGAUCAUGGCUCAGAUUGAACGCUGGCGGCAGGCCUAACACAUGCAAGUCGAGCGGUAGCACAGAGAGCUUGCUCUCGGGUGACGAGCGGCGGACGGGUGAGUAAUGUCUGGGAAACUGCCUGAUGGAGGGGGAUAACUACUGGAAACGGUAGCUAAUACCGCAUAACGUCGCAAGACCAAAGUGGGGGACCUUCGGGCCUCAUGCCAUCAGAUGUGCCCAGAUGGGAUUAGCUAGUAGGUGGGGUAACGGCUCACCUAGGCGACGAUCCCUAGCUGGUCUGAGAGGAUGACCAGCCACACUGGAACUGAGACACGGUCCAGACUCCUACGGGAGGCAGCAGUGGGGAAUAUUGCACAAUGGGCGCAAGCCUGAUGCAGCCAUGCCGCGUGUGUGAAGAAGGCCUUCGGGUUGUAAAGCACUUUCAGCGGGGAGGAAGGCGUUAAGGUUAAUAACCUCAUCGAUUGACGUUACCCGCAGAAGAAGCACCGGCUAACUCCGUGCCAGCAGCCGCGGUAAUACGGAGGGUGCAAGCGUUAAUCGGAAUUACUGGGCGUAAAGCGCACGCAGGCGGUCUGUCAAGUCGGAUGUGAAAUCCCCGGGCUCAACCUGGGAACUGCAUUCGAAACUGGCAGGCUAGAGUCUUGUAGAGGGGGGUAGAAUUCCAGGUGUAGCGGUGAAAUGCGUAGAGAUCUGGAGGAAUACCGGUGGCGAAGGCGGCCCCCUGGACAAAGACUGACGCUCAGGUGCGAAAGCGUGGGGAGCAAACAGGAUUAGAUACCCUGGUAGUCCACGCCGUAAACGAUGUCGAUUUGGAGGUUGUGCCCUUGAGGCGUGGCUUCCGGAGCUAACGCGUUAAAUCGACCGCCUGGGGAGUACGGCCGCAAGGUUAAAACUCAAAUGAAUUGACGGGGGCCCGCACAAGCGGUGGAGCAUGUGGUUUAAUUCGAUGCAACGCGAAGAACCUUACCUGGUCUUGACAUCCACAGAACUUUGCAGAGAUGGUUUGGUGCCUUCGGGAACUGUGAGACAGGUGCUGCAUGGCUGUCGUCAGCUCGUGUUGUGAAAUGUUGGGUUAAGUCCCGCAACGAGCGCAACCCUUAUCCUUUGUUGCCAGCGGUCCGGCCGGGAACUCAAAGGAGACUGCCAGUGAUAAACUGGAGGAAGGUGGGGAUGACGUCAAGUCAUCAUGGCCCUUACGACCAGGGCUACACACGUGCUACAAUGGCAUAUACAAAGAGAAGCGACCUCGCGAGAGCAAGCGGACCUCAUAAAGUAUGUCGUAGUCCGGAUUGGAGUCUGCAACUCGACUCCAUGAAGUCGGAAUCGCUAGUAAUCGUAGAUCAGAAUGCUACGGUGAAUACGUUCCCGGGCCUUGUACACACCGCCCGUCACACCAUGGGAGUGGGUUGCAAAAGAAGUAGGUAGCUUAACCUUCGGGAGGGCGCUUACCACUUUGUGAUUCAUGACUGGGGUGAAGUCGUAACAAGGUAACCGUAGGGGAACCUGCGGUUGGAUCACCU